RNAcentral lists this transfer RNA (58 nucleotides) under Polyacanthorhynchus caballeroi. RNAcentral describes it as "tRNA-Asn". Lineage: Eukaryota; Metazoa; Acanthocephala; Polyacanthocephala; Polyacanthorhynchidae. The record is from RNAcentral.
UUGUGCUAUUACUUGGGUCGGUGGUGGGGUUGUUAUCCCCGGAGGAGGGACUCAUGGG